GGGCAUAUGAAAGUUCCCAGGCUAGGGGUCAAAUUACUGCUGCAGGUGCCAGCCUACACCACAGCCACAGCAAUACAGGAUCCGAGCUGCUUCUGUGACCUACACCACAGCUCAUGGCAACGCCGGAUCCUUAAGCCACUGAGCGAGGCCAGGGAUCAAACCCUCAUUCUCGUGGAUAUUGGUUGGGUUUGUUACCACUGAGCCAAAACGAGAACAGCACCAGGUGAUUUUAAUGGACAGCCAGCUCUACAAACCACUCUGUACCAAACAUACUUGUUAUUGAAAGGUUUAUGCAUAACAUUAAAAACAUUUUUAUGACCAUAGUGACUUGGGAGAGUCUUUGGCCUGAAUACCAAAAAGGUAAGUUUCUCAGCCUCCGCGAAAGAUCAGCCCUGGGAGGGGCGGGGGAGGUUCACCAAGGUCACCUGCACCUCAGGGAGGAGGUGAAGGAAGGUGAAGUGAUGUCCCCUUAGAACACAAGAUAGAAGUAUAAUAAUACAGGCGAGCUGGUGUGCUUCCUCUGGCGCAAGCUCUGAGGACUGAACUGCUGCCCCCAUUCCCCCGUCAUCUCCCUCCUUCUCAUCCCAUCCUUCCCACAGCUUCCUGCCCCUUGGCCUUGUUUCUGGUCUUCAGUGCUAAACUCUUCCAGUUUAAAGUGUUCCAUAUAGUGCCUGGAGCCUGGAGAGAAAAGGUGCCAAGAAAAUCUUAAUAAACAAAUAAAUUAUUCAUACUAGGUAUUGGAAUAUUCUCUGCACCACUGGGUUUCAAACAUUUCUUAGAAGCAGACUCUCACCCAUAAGGUCAAACAAAUAAAACCCAUGAAACGAGAAGCAUAGGGGUUAAAGCUGGGGUGGAGGUCUGGAACCUCAGGGGUUCAUCUACCCCCUGCCACCACCAGGAGGGAAGCCCUGGGGCACCCUUGCACCCUGCCAGGGGCCCUAUGUGGCACAGAUGGAAAACUUCCCCAACACAGGGCUCACAGUGGUACUGUGGAUUUAUGAGAUGAUGAGAUUUAAGUCUCCCAAGACUAUUAAAAAAAAAAUAAUUAAUUAAUUAAAAAAACAGGAGUUCCUGUCAUGCCACGUUGCUGUGGUUCUGAUGUAGGCUGGCAGCUAUAGCUCCGAUUAGACCCCUAGCCUGGGAACCUCCAUAUGCCAAGGGAGCAACCCAAGAAAUGGCAAAAAGACAAAAAACAAACAAACAAACAAACAAAAACCCCUCUCUCCUCUCAGCAACCAGGGCAAACUCCCUCGCACAUGUGCAUGCUUACCUGGGACUCUGCUCUCUCUUCCCUGAAGACUCAGGGUCCCUACAUACUCUGUCCAUUCAGAAGGAAGGAGUAAUGGAGACCAAUUAGACGGGAGAAGACCCAGCUCAGCCACACUUCGUGCCUAGAAGCAUCCAUGGGUCUUGGCAGCUAAAAGAGGCUACUUCUUCCUGGUAGAGGAAACACUAAAAUCCGCCUUCGGGUUGAUUCUUCAAUCUAUGUGGCUGUCAGUGACAAGCAUUCUUCCUGCAGCUCAAACUAGUUUUGCAGCUACAACUAUUGGUUCAAGUGGCCAAAUUUGCCAAAAAUAUCAGAUUGACUAUUUUUAAGGAUUUUCAUAAUGCAGAUGAAGUCAGGAUGACAACAGAAUCUGGGUUGAUUUCUUUGCUUGCCUGCUUAAUUAUUUCUUUUACCCUCCCAUGUGCUUCUGAAUCAAUUUCCCUUGAUUCUGCUCCAAAGAAAUUCUGGCUUUCCUUAAAGACUAGGUCUGAACAUCUAGAAGGAAAGGACGCAGGGAUAGACAAAUAAAAUCUCUUCAGAUUUGCAUUUGGAGUUCCCUAUCAAACCCUUUUGUUUGGUCUUCCAGUCUCCAUGAGGCAAGCGCCAUUCUCCCCAUCUUACAGAUGAGACAACUGAGGCUGAGAAAGGCUAGGUGACUUGCUCAGGACCACACAGUCUGUGUUUCCUGGAGCUUGAAUCCAGGGCUUGUAUGUUUAAAUGCCAUGCUUUUACUCACCACAAAACUCCUGCCUUAAGAUUCCAGGUGUCCGUCAUUAAACUGUACUGACAUGAGUCAGAAAUCAUCACAAAACGUUUAAUUCAGCAGGUCUGGUCCCGAUGGUGGUGUCAUUUCUCCCCAGUAGAAUCUUAGCACCACCCCCAAUUCCUCUUUUGACAAAUUUGCACGUUAAUUGGGAGUGAGAUAGGUAUUGGUGUGGGCAAGAAUAAUAGGCCAUGAACAAUUUUCAAAAGGCCACUUACUUUGUCUUUAAUGUUUCAAACUCAAGUCUGUCUGCCAUCGUUUUUCCCCACCUCUUGCUCCAAAGUCUUUUUGAUCACCCCCCUCUAACUGUUUUAGCCCUCCCUUGCCCUUCUCCUCUGUCUUAAAAUCAAACAGCCAUGGAGUUUGUUCAGAUUCCCUAUUCAUCAAGGAAAUGAAUUCCAUAUGCAUAAUUCAUUUCUUUUGUGAACUUUUUUCCCUGCAGGGAGUUAAUGCUCCCCAGUGCAUUGGGAACAGAGACAGUGACAGAAGGACGAGAGAGCAAGGGGGCAAAAAUGCCUUUCCCCGUGUAACCGGGACAGAUAGGGGCCAAGAGGUCUGGGCUCUGCUGGCUGACACCUUGAGCUCCACAAUUCUAUCUCACCAAAAGGAGGGGGCAGCCUGUGCUGGUUAUUAGGGGACAAUAGGCUUCAUCUUCAAGGGUGAGUACCUCUUGGAGCCCAGAGGCCUUGAGAGGCUGGAGUCGUUCCUUCCAACCCCAGUGGCUGAUUCACGGGUGGAAAGAAAUCGAUGGCGUCCUCCCACCUCUUUAUGGCUCUGCUCAUAUUAAAAACCCCAAACUAAACAAAGAGAUAUACACCGUGCCCAAUGCACCAUGUUUAACAGCUGUUGCAUUUGGAGAAAAAGCAGUCCCUCGUCCAAAGUCAGAUUUGAAAAACGGCUUUAUUAAGAGCAAGAUUUACUGUAUAUGAACUCCAAGCCUAGAAAGUAGAGGAGGAGCAGCUGAGAAAGACAGAUCUGCCAGACAGGGAGCCCAACUGACUCCACUGGCUGAUGUUACCUUUUGGCAACAUACACAGACCCACACGACAUCCUGGAAGCUACAGGACUCUGAUUAUUAACUCUUUAAUAACAGCCGAGGGUCCCCAAAGUUCUGAGCUGGGUUGAUAAAUGGCAGAACAGACUUUAAACCCAAGAUUGAGCUUUUAUUCUAGCAUGAUAUAUUUCAGGGAAUUUAUGUCCCUUAGCAUCUUAAUUAAAAAAAAUUUUUUUCAAAAAUCCAUCUUUUUUUUUUGCUUCUUCCUUCCUCCAUCUGCAUAAGAAAAAGAUGAGAG
This 3322-nucleotide long non-coding RNA is filed under the name Sus scrofa (pig). Its description in RNAcentral is "lncRNA (ENSSSCG00055017804.1)". The record is from RNAcentral. Lineage: Eukaryota; Metazoa; Chordata; Mammalia; Artiodactyla; Suidae.